UACGUAGGGUGCGAGCGUUGUCCGGAAUUAUUGGGCGUAAAGGGCUCGUAGGCGGUCUGUCGCGUUGUCCGUGAAAACUCACAGCUUAACUGUGGGCGUGCGGGCGAUACGGGCAGACUGGAGUACUGCAGGGGAGACUGGAAUUCCUGGUGUAGCGGUGGAAUGCGCAGAUAUCAGGAGGAACACCGGUGGCGAAGGCGGGUCUCUGGGCAGUAACUGACGCUGAGGAGCGAAAGCGUGGGGAGCGAACAGG
Molecule: ribosomal RNA, 253 nt
Filed under: uncultured bacterium
Lineage: Bacteria
Description: partial 16S ribosomal RNA
Rfam family: Bacterial small subunit ribosomal RNA
Source: RNAcentral